Molecule: long non-coding RNA, 31831 nt
Filed under: Medicago truncatula (barrel medic)
Lineage: Eukaryota; Viridiplantae; Streptophyta; Magnoliopsida; Fabales; Fabaceae
Description: long non-coding RNA (MTRU_LNC008881)
Source: RNAcentral
GCAGAUACCAUGUACCACGAUCGUUUUUGAAACCAAACGGCAACACUCUUGUAUUGUUUGAGGAAAAUGGCGGUGAUCCAACACAAAUAGCUUUUGCUACAAAACAGCUAGAAAGUUUGUGUGCCCAUGUAUCUGAUUCUCACCCACCUCAAAUAGACUUGUGGAACCAAGAUACAACAUCAUGGGGAAAAGUAGGGCCUGCACUGUUGCUCAACUGUCCUAAUCAUAAUCAGGUAAUCUUUUCCAUCAAAUUUGCAAGCUAUGGAACACCACUGGGGACAUGCGGAAACUUCUACCGCGGACGCUGCAGCAGCAAUAAGGCGCUGUCAAUUGUAAAGAAGGUGUUUAUCUGAAUUCUUGUUCCCUUGCUAAUUUGUUAUGUUUCACUUAGGUUUAGAUUAACUAUGUUGGGUUAUUUGUUUGUGUUUCCAUAUCUAUUUUCUUUUGAACGAAAGUUUUUUUUGUAACAUACUAAAAUCAUCUUAUUAACAGGCCUGCAUUGGAUCAAGAAGUUGUAGUAUUGGAGUAUCAACCGAUACAUUUGGAGACCCUUGUAGAGGAGUGCCAAAGAGUUUAGCUGUUGAAGCUACUUGUGCUUAUAGCCAUACAGAUUUGUAGCAUGUUAGUCGAAGUACCACUUGCAAUAAAAGAAACAAAUAUUGUCUUCAUUAUAUUGUGAGCAUUUGGAAAAAUUGAAACUUCCAUUAUUAUGGAAUACAAGUGCAAUUUAGGAAUACAAAUACAAAAAACUCACAUUAUGGCAAGUUUAAGAAACUUAUAGCACAUUGAGAUUUAAGAAAAUGGUUGUAAUAGGAAACAUUAUGGUGGACUCUUUUUAGUCUUGGAUACACAAAUAUAAUAAUAUAAAAUAGAAACCUGAAUACAACAUGUUAAUUUCAUAAACGGAAUUGGCUUAAUUUUUGUGUCAUGUCAAACUCAAAUUUUGACUUGGUUGCAAUUUUUUUUUUAUUAUAACAUUUAUGGUUGACCCUUCUUUCUUGCAAAUUGUCUGAGAAAGACUACUCUGAUUUUGCAUAACUUUAGUAUUUGGAUCUAUAGAUGUGUCACUGGAUUUGCAAUCAAACAUUGCAGUCUCCUCCAAGAUGUCAAGAGCAUACUUUCUUUGAGAGAUGGCAAUGUGCACUACAAGAAUGGUGGAUUUUCCUACAAAAGUUUCCGACGAAAUUUCCUAGAAAGCGUUUUCCUACGAAUUAGCGACGAAAUUUUCGUCGGAAAGCAAAUGUCAGUAAAAAGCAGCUUGUGAAUGGCUGACUUUACCUAGGAAUAAUUUCCUAGGAAAGCGGCGGCCCCCACAUGCAGAAAAAGGGUGUGUGGAAGCAUGUGAUUGGCCUAAUUUACCGAGGAAUAUUUUCCUAGGAAAGCUGCGGCCCCACAUGCAAAAAAAGGGUGUGUGGAAGCAUGUGAUUGGCCUACUUUACCGAGGAAUAUUUUCGUAGGAAAGCUGCGGCCCCACAUGCACACAGCCGUUGGAUAAGGGGUGUGUGUAUGGUUGUGAUUGGUGGAAAUUACCUACGAAAAUUUUGUCGGAAAACACGGGACCCACAUGCUAACUAGCCGUUUGUUACCGUUGCAGCAUUUGUGUAUAUAAAUAUACAACACUCUAUUUUCUUCUUGACAAUCUUCAUUCUAUUCUCAUUCAAAUUUUUUUAAUAUCACUCAAAUUUUAUUCUCCAUCAUUUUAUUAUCAUUAUUUCUCAUUCAAAUUUUUUUAAUAUCACUCAAAUUUUAUUCUCCAUCAUUUUAUUAUCAUUAUUGAAGUUUCUAACAAAGGUAAUUAUUGAUAUUUUCUUAUAAUUGAUUUCAAUUUUACAUGUGUUUGAAUUUAUAAAUAUUUAAUGUAGUUAUACAUUAAAAUAAGUUACAUUCUUUUUUAUAGUUAUGUUGGUUCUGAUCCAUUUUGAGGUUGGUGUUGUUGUUCGUUGCCGUUGAUUUUGUUGUCUCCGCUUAAUUCGUCGACUUAUUAUUUGAGGUUGGUACAUUUCUAACUUAUUUUAAAUAAUUAUUACAAUGGUAUUAGUACUAAAUAUUAAUUAUUAGAAAAAUAGUUACUAAAAUUAUUAUAUUGUAAUUAAUAAAAACGUUAGCGGGAUUUUUCUAAAAAAAAAUGUUAGUUGGAUUAACUUCUUUAAAAAAAUAUUUAGUGGGAUUAAAUUAAAUUUCAACUUAUUAGUGUUAGAGAGAGUAUAAUAAAAAAAGUGUUAGUUUGUAGAAAAACUUGUAGUUUAGUUAAAAAUGUUUACUUUUGAAAAACUUGUGUUAAAUUUAUAUAUAUUGUUAAUUUAGUUAUUAAAAUAUGUUGCAUUAUUUUUUGUAGUUUCCUUGUUUUCGAUCCAUUUUAAAGUUGGUGUUGCUGCUGGCUGGUUGUUGCUUUUUUUUUUUUGAUCCACUUGUUCAUUGGCUUGUUAUUUGAGGUUAGUAUCUUUUAUUUAUUUAAAAUUUAUUCAAUGGAUUAAUAUUAAAAAUAUUAGAUAUUAGAAACAUAGUUAGUAAAAUUAAAUUGUAGUAAAUAUGUUAUUUAGAUCAAAUUUGUUUUACGUAAAAUAAAUGUAGCUAGUAAAAAUGUUACCGUAGUUCUUUAAAAAAAAGUUAAGUUAGUAAAGAAAUAUGUAUAAUUAAGUUUGUUAGAAAAAUAAUGUAAAGUAGCAAAAAAUUAUGAAGUUAAUUAAUAUGACAUAUGUGAAUUAUUUUGUGGGAAUCAAUUCUGGCGUCCGCGCUUAACAUUUAUUUGUGGUUAGUAAUUUGUAUAUGCACGCAAUGUUUAUUUCAUACAAAUUUUAGAAAAUGUGAUAUAGAUUAGAAAAUGUUAUAUAUUUUAGUCAUAAAAUAUAAAAUAUUAUAUAAUUUUUAUGCGAUAGCAUGUUUAUUUUGUACAAAUUUCUAAAUAUUUAGGUGAUUAGAAAAAAAUUGUUAUUUAUAUUAAAAAAAUAUUUACGUAUAAAAAUAUAUGGUACUAAUUUGAGUCAACUGCAGCGACGCGAAAAAUGGAUCAACAUAUUUUCCAUCGUAGUUGGAUGUACGAUAGAAAAUAUCCGGGGAAAAGGAAACUUAAGGCGGCUUUUGUGGAUGGAGUUCGUGAAUUUGUUGCUUACGCCAUGGCGCAAGAUGCCUUUCAAUUGGAGGGAGGGAUAAGAUGUCUGUGUGUUAAAUGUACGUGUAGGUUGAUUCGGAGCCCAAAAGAUGUUCUAAACCAUUUAAAGGACCUUGGUUUUAUGGAGAAUUAUUAUGUGUGGAUUUAUCACGAUGAACAAGAGCCUACAAAUAAUACCGAGUCUGAUGUUAAUAUGCACGCUUCAAGCAGUGAGGCGCGUAUGGAGUGUGAAAACUUUGGCGUGAUGGAAGAUAUGGUCGGUGAUGCACUUGGGGUGAACCUGUCUUACAACGAGGGUGGUGAAGAGGAAACAAUCCCGAAUGAGAAAGCGUUGAAGUUUUACAAGAUGAUGCAAGAAGUAAACAAGCCGUUGUUUGAAGGGUCGUCUGAUUCUAAGUUAUCAAUGAGUGUGAGGCUUUUAGCUGCCGCGUCAGAUUGGAGUGUAGCCGAAGAAGGCUCAGAGUAUACAGAUAUCAUGAGGGACGCAACUUCCAAACCUAGCUUCUCACAAUCGGUCCAAUAGUUCCAAUCGGUGCUACAAUUGCUCAGUUUCCAACUCACUCAGUCCACAAUCCAUCACCGUUGAUUUUAUUGCCCUAAAAGGUUAGUGAAUCACCUUUGCUAAAUUGAUUUUAUUGCUGCUAAUUUGUGAUUUAAAAUAUUAGGGUUUUCUGAUUUGGUCUGGGUUCUUUUGAUAAGUUAACAGGUUUGGAUACACAUAAAAUUUGAUUUGGGUUCCCUAAUGUUUUUUUGAACUUUAACUCAAAUAGCAUUGUGAAUGUAUUUUUUUGCUUAUAAGACCUGUGCUAAUUUGACUCAUAUCGCAUUUACCUAUGCUAUGAUAAUUGCAGCCUGUGUGGUCGUUUUUUGUUCUUCUUCUAGAAGUCGUGUUCGCCGUGUUCUCAAUCGCUCAAGAAACCACCGCCGCCGCCGUGUUAUAACUAGUUUUGAACUAAGUUAAGUUUCUCCUGUUUAUUUUAAUAUAUAAUCCUGCCAUAUGGAUAUGUGUGGUGUGUGUGGAAGUAAUAUAGUUUUUCUGUUUUUUAUGAGGUAGAUUAGAAGAAGAUAUGCAUCAUAAUUUGGAUCAGUAUUAUGUCAUCCAUUCAUGAGAUUAUAUCUGCCAUUUGUUGGUUUUGAUUCAGAUUUGUUUUUGAGCAUUAGAGUCUGUUAUUUUCUUGGUGCUUAAAGAAAUGUGCUAGAGUUGAUGUAUGAGCGAUGAGCUAAUUGUUGUGCAUUUUAUGAAGUGUCAAAGGAAAUUUAAGAGAUUGUAAUUACUCUUCAUUGUGAAGAUUGAAGAUUGUAAUUAAUCUUCAUUACGAUGAGCUAAGAGUUUGAAUUAAAUGUAUUUUGAUUUAUCUAAUUUUGAACUAUGUUUAUAGGAACUUGGAUCAACUUGAGGUGUUAUCGAAGAAAUAGAAGAAGCUUAAUCAAAGACUAUAAGAGCCAAGGCGUCUUCACAAUCCAUUGCUGCAACUAGGUUAUCUGAUUCUGUUUUUCAAUUUUAUUUAUUUAUAGAAGUAUUGUAUGAUUCUGUUUUUAGCUAUCAAUAACUUUUGGUGCUGAGUUUGGUGAUGGAGUACCAUUGAAUUAGUUGAUCAUUUUGAUUAUUGAAAUUCAUUCUUUACUCACUAGCUUGAUUUAAUUCUCUUUAUUUCAUUUUGGCUAUGUUUUGAAAAUUAGGACAGAAUUGUAGUAUAAGCUUAUAACACAAUUUUUGGUUGAAGAUUCUGACUUUUCUUUAUCUCUAAGUUGAAUUCCACUAAAUUCUUGAGAUAGAUUGGUUGAUGUUACUGUCAAAUAAAAUUCUUGAGGUAGUGUUUUCGCUGCUCCCUUUUCCACCAUGAUAUAGCCAUGUCGGUGUCCUAGGUUUUUUUAGAUUAGCAGUGUCCGUGUCGGUGUCCUAGGUUUUUUUAGAUUAGCCGUGUCCGUGUCCGUGUCGUGUCCCGUGUCCGUGUCCGUGUCCGAGUCCGUGCUUCAUAGGGUUUUCAGUGUAAUUCUACAAAACCAAUCCAAAAGUUCAGUUUUGUUCGUAAACAGACUUAAACUCCUCUAUUUAAUUAAAAUAUCAAACGGUGUCCGAAUUGAGUAAACGAACAUUCCCUGGAAAGCUUAGAAUGUCAAGAAUAUAAAUAUAAUUUUACUUUUGGUGUUUAAAUAUCCAAUUUGUACAGUUUUACUAAUGAACUUGUACAGGUACAGAAACAUGUUAGCAGUUUUACCAAUUUGCUGCAAAAGUCAGAAUUUCAAUCUAUUCCUCUUUUUUCUUUCUUUCACUUACUCAAUUGAUCAUACUUCUACAUUUCUUAAUCUAUGACAUUAUUACCAUGACAUAAUAGUAUAAAAGUAACUUUAUGCUGAUUCAAAUCUGUUAGUGUGCAUUUAGGUUUCGUCAUUAGGUGUCGUCGUCGUGGUUAGGUAAGAGCCAUGAAUUGUGCAUUUAGAAACCAACUUCCAAACCUCCUUGUCAACCAUAGCCAUAUUAAAUACCUUAAAACUUUUAAAACUCAUCCCAUUGAACAUGUAAGGAUUUUGAAGAAUGCAAAACUCCCUCUAAGCUAACAAGUUCAUUACAAGAAUGAUCAUAUAGAAAUAAUAAGCAUAUUUCUUUGUAUCCUGAUAGAUUGCUCAUAAUCUUCUCAGAAGCAAAACAGCAGAUACAAGGAUUGCUUUCUUAUUGUCCAAGCCUAGGCUACCCUAUUUCAGUCUGCCUUUCUUGUUGGUUGAUGUGUGCCUUUCCACCAACUCUUGAUUUGCAAGUGCAACAGCCUAUUCAAAACGAAAAUUACGCCCAUGACGGAGGCAAAGUAUUGAUCUAUAAAGGGCAGCAACAUGUAGGAAGAAGAUUAUUGUAAUUAUGAGAUCAUCCAAGAGACCAACUAUUCCGAAUAUUCCUUCCGAGAUGAUGUCAAUAACACUACAAGAAAUGUUGCAUUUUGUCAGGGGCAGAAGUCCUGGCAAAAUGCAGAAAGCCUUGGCAAUUGGACAUUUGCCAGGAGCAGAAUCACCAGCAAAUCUGCUCAUCGCAAAUGAACCUGUCAGGGCUUAAGCUCCUGGCAAAUGCGCUCCUGACACAGGCCCUGGCUCAACCCCUAGCAAAUUGUGUCAGCUUGCAUGCAGCUUUUCUGGAGUUCUGCAGGCAUUUGCAGACUGUGUCAGCAUCACAUCAGUCAUCAUUUUCAAAACAUGCCAGGGGUUUACCCCUGACAAAAUGUGUACCAAUUUUAAAAAUUAAAAAACAUUUUUUAAUUGUUUAAAAAAUCAAAAUAUUAAAAUUUAAUAAUUAAAAUAAUUUCAAAAAACAAUUUUAAAUUAUUUUUACGAAAAAUAAUUAAAUUAAAUUAUUAAAACAAUUUUAAUAAACGUUUUUAAAUUGUUUUUUUUAUUUCAUUUUUUUAAAAUUGUUUUUAUUUCAUACCAUAAAAAAGAGAUUCGAAAAAUUCAGCCAUUAAUUAACAUCAUUCUAAAAAAAUCUAUUUUACGUACCGAUCACCAAACAUAAAACAAAACACAACAGAAUCAUUUGGCACACAAAAAGUAUAGUACCCUUGAGAUAGAUUACAUCAACGAACCAAUUUGACUAUGAACAAGCUAUAAAGAAAUAGUCCAUUGGAAAAACAUUUCAUAUAUUUAAACAUUACACAAUGAAGUAUGCUUACAUGGAAAUACUAAAUUACAUAGUGGCUGAACCAUAACCAAUACAUUGGAAAUAACGUUUCAUUGGACUAUGACAAUUACUAUAAGAGAAUGAUGGCAUAGUGGCAUGACAAUUACUAUAAGAGAAUGAUAACAGUCAUACACUUACCGGUUACAAACUACAGUUCAUUGAGUAGUAGUACAAUGCUAGUAUGAGUUCAAAUAUAUUAUGAUGUCCAUUGAUUUAUAUUGUCUGUGGCUUAAUAACUUGAAUCAAAAUUAUAGAACAAAAUCAGCAGCAGCAAACAGUGGCAUCUAAGAAAAUAACAGUUUAAAAAACAAGAAUUACAUGGCAUGUCCUGCCUUUAGAUGACAUUAAUUAAAGUAUGAGAAACUACUUACAUCAGGGGUGCAUAACUGUGUUGCGAUGUGUUCUAUGUGGGAAGAUGGUAUAUUCCCGUUUGAAUUUCAAUUCCCUCCAAGCAUUUUGCCACAACUUUCAUGAGGGGUUGCCUCCGGUAACUUUGCCAGGAGUUUCCCCUGACAUAGCUUCUGCCGAAUUUUCCAGGAGUUCUUGCUCCUGGCAUUAUUCCCUGGCCAUAUGCAACAUUUCUUGUAGUGGGUUGAGGAUGUAUAUAACAAUCAGUAUCAUAGUAAUGACGACACGAGCUCUGAAAAGAAAAGGAAGAAAUGUGCUAGGCUCAAUGAAAUCCUUGAAAAGAGUACGCAAGAGAAAUGGAAGAUCAAGGAGUCUUUGAGUAAUGGGAGCUUUAGAUUGAUCACUAAAAAUACAGUUGUAAGUCUGAAUUCCAAUCAGAACUUCAGGGUCAUGACGAUACUUGUUGCCAUUAUCGUCGUAGUUGUGGUUUUCAGUAGGAACCAAAAGGGUAAUGGGUCGAUGACAGUGUGGACAUUUACAUGGUUCAAUGUCUGGAGAUUGUUCCCAAUCAACCAUUGUACAGGUUCCACAAAACCAAUGAGAGCAUAUGUCUGUAGCUUGACAUAUUAUCUGGAAUUUUACGUGACAUUUUGAACAUACAAAUUUCGAUGGUGGACCUUCUUUCAAUUUCCCUUUCUCUUCUAUCUCAGCCUCUAACCCUAGGUUUUCCAAUUUAUCCUUCUCUUCACCCAAUUCUUCUAUCUUAGCCUCUAAUCCUAGGUUUUCCAAUUUCCCUCUAUCUUCACCCAUUUCUUCUAUCUCCGCCUCUAAGUUUUCCAAUUUCCCUUUCUCUUCACCCAUUCUUUCUCUAUUUACUCUUCUUUUUUUUUUCUUUUUCUUUUUUUUUACGAAAGAGGGUCCUCAGCUCAUUGUUAGUUAGGAUUAAAAACAUAUACUUCUGAAUAUACUUUUUUUUUUUUACAAAAUCAAUAAAUACUUUUUUUUAAAGAAAAAUAAAUAAAUACUUAAGAGCUUCAUUAUUCAUAGACUUCCCAAUUCAAAUGAAGAAAUUGUCAAAUCCACAUUAAGGAACAACAUAAAAUAAAAUAAAAAAUAAACUAACAAACAUUAUAUCUACGAAGAAGAAAAAAAAGUAGGGCUAAACUAUUUUGCCAUCCUAAAAGUAACUUGAAUAUUUAUCAUGUCAUAAAAACCAAUAAAUAGCCAAGAGAUGAAGAGUGACAAAAUGAAGAAAAACUAAAAUACCAAGUGAUAAUGAACAACCAUUUUUCAUAAACUUCUUCAUGAACAGCAAGGAUGAAACAAAAUGAAAAAAGAAGCAUCAUUUAUCCUAUUUUCCUAAUUCACAUAAAAAAAUGCCCACGUACACAUUAAGGAAUAAAAGAAACUAUGAAAGAAAGUCUGACAAAUAGACAAACAACCAUCAUAUCGAUGAAAAAAUAUUGCUUAAAUACUUGACCAAUCUAAGAGUAACUUGACUCCCUAUAAUGUCAUAGAAACCAAAUAAUAAUCAAGAGAUGAAGAGUAAAAGUGAGUAGAAUAAUAAAGAGUUGAAGAGUAAAAGUGAGUGGAAUAAGAGUAAUACAAAAUUGAAGAUGAAUUAUCCAAUUAUUGCUUGAAAGGGAUGAACAACAAAACCCAAAAUUUGGUGAAAGAAACUACAUACUUAUACACACAAUCUUUUUCAAUGUAGGACAAAUAGUCUAAUUAGUAGAAACUUUAAAUAUUGAUAUCAUAUUAGUGGUUCUAUGUAUAAUGAGUUAUGGAAUACAAAAAAAAUUAAUAGUAGUUCAAAGGUUAAUGUGAUAAAAAUCAAUGCAUUGGAGUUUAUGAUUCAUAAAUAAACACGUAAAAAUUGUGUGGAUCUUUUUUAAACGUGGCACAUCAUCACAAUUCUAGCUUAUGGAUAGCUUAAACUUGGACCAUAAAUAUCUCAUCAAUCACCUAGAGAAGUUUUUAAAUCGUUAAUAUAAACUAAUUUCAAAAUUAAGUUGUUGGGUUAGUAACAUCCACAAAAUCAACUCUAAACCUAGCAUAAUUAAGUAUUUUAAAUUUAUUCUUACCAUUUACAUUACACUAAAUUUUGCGUCAACGGUUUCCAAAUGCUAAGUAACGUCACAUUUUCCUUCAAAAAAAGUAACGUCACAUUUAUAUACACUUUUAAAAGGCAUUUAGCUUCAAUUUUAGCGUCCACUUUUGAAGAUGUUAAUUAGCAUCGGUAGGAAGCUAGUGUUUGGCCUCCAAGCUUUUAUUGUCAUUAAUUUUUUGGCCUCUAUAUUGACUCUAAAAGGCUAUUAGCGUCCAUAAUUUGCCUUUUUGCAUCCAUUUUUAUGAUGACUCUAAAACGUAAUUUUCUUGUAAUGCAGAUGCAGAGAAAAAAAAAAAAAAGUGGAAGAAAUAACAAUUUUUUUGAAUUGUGAUAGGGUCGAAGGAAUAAGCAAGUUGAAACCUCAACACAAAGAGCUUUUAAAAAGUGUGGUUGCCCAAUCAAAAUUAGAUCAACACCGUUGAAAAAUGGUUUGGGAUGAAAAGUUGAGGUUAAAUGUGGAAUUCACAACCAUAUGCUACCUAAUAGAAUGGAAGGUCAUGCAUUUACAGGGCGUCGAACAAUAGAAUAGCCUGAAGACGUUAGGAUUUAACAAAUCUUCAUGUUCCACUAAGACGGAUACCUCUAUUAUUGCAUUAAUGAGUUUUCAAGCCUAAACUAUUAAUUUUUUUUAUCAUAUGUUAGUUCUUAAUAUAUUUAUUUAGGAUUAAAUAUGUUUUUUUGUCCCUAUAAAUAUAUCAGUUUUUCGUUUUAGUUCCUUUAAAAAUUUCCUUCAACUUUUAGCCCCUAUAAAAUUUUGAAUCACUACUUUUAGUCCUGAAUUUUAGGUUAAUUUUUUUUAAUGAAAUUGUGCAAAAUUGUGUAGAGUAUUGUAAAAAUAUAUCCCAGAAAAAAUUAGAAUUUUUUAACAAAACUUAAAUUAAAUAUGAAUUUUUAACUGCAAAAAUGUAAAAAUUCAUAUUUAAUUCAUGUUUUGUUAAAAAAAAUCUAAAUUUUUUGGGAGAGAUUAAUUCUUAUAAUAUAUUAAAUUUUUAUGCAAAAUUUUAUUCAAAAAUAUGAAUUCUACAUAUGAUUUUACUGUAAAGAAAGGACCAAAAGUGGAGAUGGAAAACUUUUUGGAGACUAAAAGUUGAUCAAGAAAUUUUUUAGAGAAACUAAAAUGGAAAUUUGACAUAUUUAUAGGGAGAAAAAACAUAUUUAACCCAUUUAUUUAUUUAUACUACCAAUGAUAUUUUUCUAUAAAAAUAAAAAUCACCAAAUCCUUAAAAAAAGGAAGAAUAUUUGUGUUUUUUUAACCAAGAAGAAUAUUUGUUGAAAAAAUAUAGGGAAGAAUUUUUAUAGGAAUUAAACAAGAGGAUAUAACAAUUAAUAAUCCUGAAAAAUUAUUAAUAUUUCUUAGAAAUAAAGCACAGAAGUAACUCAAGUUUUUUUUUUUUUACGGGACAAAAUAUAACUCAAUUUUUAGGAGAAAAUAUAAUUAGGAGAGAUACAAGAUGGAAUCUUAAUAUGAAUAUGAAAACUAGCAUGACGCGAAGCCAUUUAGCAAAACUAUGAGCGACUUUGUUGGCUUGUCUCUAAUAAACCUAACAUUAGAGGUUGCUAAAUCAGAAGCAAACAGACGUUUACAGCCAUUGAUACUGCACUAUAAUUAGAAACGCCGCUUUUACUACCAUAAAGACUAUCCACCACAGUUUUGGAACAAAACUCAAAAUCCACAAUACCCAAUUGUAGAUCACGCACCCAAUACAUUGCUGAUAAUAAACCUAAAGCCUCGCCCAAAUCCACUUCAAUGAGUGGAGUCAUCCAUUCAGUUUUAGUCAACACAAACCUACCUUCAUUAUCUCGACUACACAUACCAAGGCUAACCUGAUUCAAAGAAUGGGAAAAGGAAGCAUCUACAUUACAUUUUUACCUACCUGAACUUGGUUUAUGCUACUGCAGAUCUCCUUGAGGAGUGGGAUGCAUGGUAGUAUGAUUUCAAAUAUGUUGGACAUUCAUCCAACUAGUAAGAAAAGAUCUUGUAUGUUCACAUAUUAUUACUAUGUUCCAAAUAUUCCAUAGAGUCACACUAAAGACUUGUUUUUGCUGUUGAUCCAGAUGGGUUAAAAUAGCAAACAAAUUUGUCACGAAACUUGUAUAUAGAUCAAAGAAAGCCAUCGAGAGACUCCAUAAUCCGGUGUGCUGCCAACAAAGCAUACUUUUACUAUAUAUGAAAAACAAAUGAGUACUAUCUUCAGCACUUUCUUCACACACCGCGCACUAAUCAGGACAUUGAACACCUUUUGAUUGCAACCGAACUCUUGUAGGCAAAUAGUUACGACAUGCUCUUCACCAUAAAUUUUUAACCUUUGGUGGCAAUUUAUGCUUCCAAACACAAUUCCAGUUCCUGGCGCACGAUGUUGUAAAGUUGCAAUGUUGUGAUUCAUAAUGUCCUUGUAUGCACUCCUAACUGUGUAAGCACCAUCCUUCUCUAAUUUCCAAGUAGGCACAUCAUUAAUCACUGAAGCCAACAAUGGAAUAUUAAAAAUACUUUUGGCUGUAUUAGUAUAAAAAAUAUAUAUUAAUUAGUUCCAUGUUUCAUUGCUUCUGAGGUGUAACCAUCAAGUCCGCAAAAAUUAUAUGUGGUCACUCCAAAUGUUGAGGAGUGGAGUGGUCGGCAAAAUACGAUCAGCGUUACAAAGUCAAGGAUGGUCCUAAACUAGUAUUCGUUCUCUUGUACCAAUACUCCAAUGCAAAUUCCUUCGAAUUACAUCUUUCACAUUCCAAAUACUACGCCAAACAUAACUAGGAUUAUGGCCAAUACCAGCUCCAAAGUAAUCACAUCUAGAAAAGUAUUUUGCUUUGAGUAAACGUGUGAAUAAAGACUCUGGAUUAGAAACCAACUUCCAAGCCUCCUUGUCAACCAUAACCAUAUUAAAUACCUUAAAACUUUUAAAACUUAUUCCAUUGAACAUGUAAGGAGUGAAAAGUUUUUCCCAAAAUAGCCAGUGUAAGCCUCGAAAAUUUGUUGAAUUAUGACCCCCGAAAAAGUUUAACAUUCUCUCAUUUUCAUUAAUGAGUGAUCAUGGGAUGAGAAAAACACUCCUGACAUGUGAAGACACAUACUACAAUACUGAUUUAAUAAGGAUUUCCCUUCCAACUUGGGAAAAUAUAAUUCAAUUUUUUUUUUUUUUAAGGAUACUCAAUUAGUUAGUUUAAUUUGCAUAGAGAAAGAGAACAAAUAGAAAGAAAGAAACUAAGCAAAGUAUUAAUAUUAAAGCAAUGAACCUAUCAAAGUUAGAGAAAAAUAAAGAAAAGGAAGUACUCAUUUGUCAGAUUUAGGUGCGAAUUAGAUUAGAUGUGGGGGGUAGAAUUGAAGCAAGUUAUCAACCGCUGAAUACAGCUUUGUUUACUCUAACAAAAUGUCACCAUCCAAUAAUAGUCGUGUCACUUUAUGCUUCAGGACCACAAAAUGAUUUAACAAUGUCCCUUUUUUCAUUAUAUUAUUAAAACAUCUCAUAAUGCUUAUUAUGUUGAGUUUAAUGGAUAUGAUUAGUCGGUUGGACCAACACUUACAAUCAAUAAAAAUCAACUAUUUCUUCACAUCAUACCAUUAAAGUGAAGUAUACUUUAGUAAUUUGAUGAAAUACAAGGUUGCUAUCAAACUAUGGUGUAAAAUUAUUUUAGACGUGGAUCUUAUUUUCUAUUAAUUUUUUUUUAGGAGAUGAUGAUAUUAAUUCUUGGUAGUCAUACUCAUACCGGUGAGUUAGUUGGGCUGCUCAAUGGCACUGCUCAACUGCCCCUUAAUUGGAGUUUUUUUUUUUCUUCAUAAUUAAUAUGCUAGCCGAUUUGCUUAUCAAAAAAAUAAAUGCUAGCCAUUUCAUGUUAUUCUUAUAAAUAUAAAAUAUAAGGAAAAAAAUACAAUGAGUGUGAUGUGUAUGAGUUGGUUAAACAAUAAUAUAUACAGUUAAAACAUAGAUCAAUACUAUAAACAAUAUACUUAGAGGUUUUGUUAAUGCAGUAAAAAAGACAAGAUAAGUAGCCUAGGAAGACAACAAUGUCACCACCGACAACCUUUUUGUUUGUCAACAAACAGCUUACACCUGGCAUUUCCUUCUCCUCAUAGAAUGCACAUUACACAUGUUAUACAGUACUUGUAGCACCUUACUCUUGUUCUUCUUACAAACCAUCAUCACUUACAUUUCACACCCACGUGACCAAAAAACACAAACACAUGUGUAACAUAUAAUCCAAACCAAAGUUCAUUCAUUCUUUCCUUCACUAGUGAGUUUCUUUUUCUCUCUUUGGUUCAUUCAUUCUUCCAAAAUAAUUACCAUGAGAGCCUUUGAAAUUGUGUUGGUUCUACUUUGGUUCCUACCAAAAAUGUUUUGCACCAAUGUGGAUUAUGACCAUAGAGCAUUGGUCAUUGAUGGUAAACGUAGAGUCUUGAUUUCUGGUUCUAUUCACUACCCUCGUAGUACUCCACAGGUUUUAUUUUAUGUCUCUCUUUGAUUCUGUUUGUGAGUUUUUGCAUUGUAUUUGAUUUUAAACAGUGCUGAAUUUGUUGUUGUUUAUAGAUGUGGCCAGACCUUAUUCAGAAAUCUAAAGAUGGAGGACUUGAUGUCAUUGAAACCUAUGUUUUCUGGAACUUACAUGAACCUGUUAAAGGCCAGGUUCUCUUUGCUUCAUUUCUUCUCUCACAUUUUUACCACUUUCUUUCUUAUUCUACUUGCUUUCAGCAUUUCCUAUGUUAAUAUGUGAAAGAAAAAGUUUGAAUUGCAGAUAGAAUUAGUAGUUUAAAAAAUGUAUAUGUUAAGCUUAAUUGCUAAUUGUUGAAAGCAUAAAAUGUUGAACACCUUUUUGGGACAUGUUUGAAUUGACUUAUCUGAGCUUAUGUACUGACAUAAGCACUUCUAAGACUCUUUGAGAAAGACUAUGAAAACAACUUAUUUAUAUAAAAGUAAUUUGAUUUAUUUAUGUUUUGUCAAUAAAAAUAGCUUAUAUAGAAGCACUUAUAUGGUAUAAGUGCUUAAUUUAAGUUGUUUAUCUAAACAUGGUCUUGAUCUAGUUUCGAAUGAAAAGACAUAGAUUAAGGUUAGAAAGACUAUUAUAAUUCAUUGAAAUGAAAUGGAUUUUUGCAGUAUGAUUUUGAUGGGAGGAAGGAUUUAGUGAAAUUUGUAAAGGCAGUGGCUGAGGCAGGACUAUAUGUGCAUCUCCGGAUCGGUCCAUAUGUGUGUGCUGAAUGGAACUACGGGUAAAGUUUGGUCCUUUCUGUGUAUUAUUUUUCUGUGGUGUUCAUGUCUAAUUGAGGGCUUUAACUUCUUGACAGUGGUUUCCCUCUUUGGCUUCACUUCAUUCCAGGGAUUAAGUUCCGAACUGACAAUGAACCAUUUAAGGUAGGCUAACCUUCACCCUGUUGCUUCAUGCAUUUGUCCUUAAAUCUGAGUUCACUUGACAGGAAACUUUGUCUUCAGGCCGAAAUGAAGCGAUUCACCGCUAAGAUUGUCGAUCUCAUGAAGCAAGAGAAACUGUAUGCAUCACAAGGAGGACCUAUAAUUUUAUCUCAGGUUUUUAAUCAUUAAAUACAUGGUCUUUUUGAAGUAUAUAGUUAAUAUAUUUUUGUAGAUAUUAAGGUCAGAGCUCAUAUUUGUUAAUGUGAGAGUAUUUGUGCUUUCUAAUGCCAGAUUGAAAAUGAGUAUGGAAACAUUGAUAGUCACUAUGGUUCUGCUGGUAAAUCAUACAUCAACUGGGCUGCAAAAAUGGCUACAUCUCUUGAUACAGGUGUUCCUUGGGUCAUGUGUCAGCAAGGAGAUGCUCCUGAUCCAAUCGUAAGUUUUAUGUUUUAAUAUGCCAACGUCAAUUAUUUUCCGGUUUAUGGUUUACUAGAUUGUCUAUCUUCUGGAAAGGAGUAAUCUUAGUUUGCUAACCACUCGCAGAUUAAUACAUGCAAUGGAUUUUACUGUGAUCAAUUCACACCAAACUCUAAUACAAAGCCGAAAAUGUGGACUGAGAAUUGGAGUGGAUGGUUAGCGACUUACUGUCCUUUUUUAUAUAAAUCAUUUCAAUAAAAUAUGUUCCUCCAAACGUGUAUAAUGGAUUGUGUAUCUCCUUUCUUGUUCUACUUGUUCUUUUUGUUAUUUUCUCAAUCUUUUGAAUUAUUUGGAAUGGUAGGUUUCUUUCAUUCGGUGGUGCUGUUCCUCACCGACCUGUGGAAGAUCUUGCAUUUGCUGUGGCACGCUUUUUCCAACGUGGUGGAACAUUUCAAAACUACUAUAUGGUAUUGCAACCUGAAAUGUUGUUCGCAAGUUCAAUUUUAUAUGAUAGUAUUACUUCACGGAAAAAUUGGCUCUAAGAGGAAUUAGCUAAUACUUUAUCAUUUUUUAUUGCUUGCCCAAAAACAGUACCAUGGAGGAACCAACUUUGACCGAAGUACCGGCGGACCUUUCAUUGCUACAAGUUAUGAUUAUGAUGCACCGAUUGAUGAGUAUGGUAUGACUCUUUCAACCUUAAUACGAGUAUAUUUUGUUCAUGUUGUAGCCAUCGCAAAUGCACCACUGGUAAUACCUCGGUCCUCGAAGAAGAUAAAUUAAUAAUAUUACACGCAUAGUUAUUUUCUUUUAUUUAGAAGAGAAAUUACACUGGACAAUUUUCUGUGUGUGUUUAAUAUCUCUACUAUACGCUGCAGGAAUUAUUAGGCAGCAAAAGUGGGGUCAUCUUAAAGAUGUACACAAGGCCAUAAAGCUUUGUGAAGAAGCACUAAUAGCUACUGAUCCCAAGAUUUCAUCUCUUGGUCAAAACCUAGAGGUAUAGGUGGUAUGUAUUGAAAUUUUUGUCUGUUCGAAACAUCUUACUCCACGUCUUAGGAUAGAAAUAUCUGGAUCAUUGUAACUAAAAUUCUUCUAGUUUGUCAAUCUUGUAAGUUACUUUCUCUGGAAAAUUCCCUCCAUUGAGUGCAAUUUUUCCACAGCCACUAUUUUCGGCACUAACUAGAUUAGUUCUUAACAGUCUUUUACUAUUUAAACCGCAGGCGGCAGUUUAUAAGACAGGAUCUGUAUGUGCUGCCUUUCUCGCCAACGUGGAUACUAAAAAUGAUAAAACCGUAAAUUUCAGUGGCAAUUCAUAUCACUUGCCUGCAUGGUCUGUGAGCAUCUUACCAGAUUGCAAGAAUGUAGUGCUUAAUACUGCAAAGGUUUGUCUUACCUUCAUUUGUGUUAAGUUGCUUCAAUAACAACAAUUAUCGCAAUCAAAAUAGAUAGUUUAAUUGAAUAGAGUUACAAAAAAAGUGUGAUUAAUAUUCAUUUUGUGAUUAUUCUAUCUAUAGCCAAGCUGUUUUCUCUUAUUUGUUAGUCCAAGGUAAGUAGGAUGUAAUAAAAAUAUCAUUUUUUUAUGGCAGAUUAAUUCUGCAUCUGCGAUUUCAAACUUCGUAACUGAAGAUAUCAGUUCUUUAGAAACUUCUAGUUCAAAAUGGAGUUGGAUAAACGAACCUGUGGGUAUUUCGAAGGAUGAUAUAUUGUCUAAGACUGGAUUACUUGAGCAAAUAAAUACCACAGCUGAUAGAAGUGAUUAUUUGUGGUACUCAUUAAGGUACACAAGCCUCCAAAUUUGAAAGAUAUUUGCUUUGACCGAUGAUUAUGUACUUCUUGAUAACACUUCUCUUGUAUUUUUUAAAGCCUUGAUCUUGCGGAUGAUCCCGGUUCUCAAACUGUCCUGCACAUUGAAUCACUUGGCCAUGCCCUUCAUGCUUUCAUAAACGGCAAGCUUGCUGGUAAACAUUUGUUAGGGUUUUUAUGGUUUUUUGUAUUCUGGAUCUCUCAGAGAGCCUUUGUUUUAUUGAAUCUCAAACAAAACUGUUGAAAAUUAAAAAACUUCCCACAUAGGAGCCUUUGUUUAUAAGUCAUCAAAAGUUUGAGACCACUGGUUCAAACUUUUGGACCAUGGGCCUCUACACUAUAAACAAACUAACCAACUAUGUUCCUACACUCCAAUUGGGUGUGUGCCAUAAUCCAACAAAUACCAAGGUUGAUGUUAAAUCAAGUUGCUCAUGGAAGUUCUUCUAAUAUCAUAUGCUCUUUUAGCAGAUGUCCUAGGAGUGUCCUUUACAAGGAACUAGUCUAGCUAUUUCUUUUUUCCUGUUUCUUUUCCUUUAGCUCAUGUAACAAAAAAAAAAAAGUAACUAUUCUGUGAUAUUAUUGACAACUUUUCAGGGAAUCAAGCAGGAAACAGUGAUAAAUCUAAGCUUAAUGUGGACAUCCCAAUCGCACUAGUUUCCGGAAAGAACAAAAUUGAUCUACUGAGUUUAACAGUUGGACUUCAGGUUCAGCUUUUCUUGUUUUUAGUUUCUAAAUAUGCAUUUGCUCAUUAUAUUCCACCGUGCAUAGACUGGCUUGCUCCUUCAGUGAUUUCUCUCAUUACUAUAUCUAAGCUAAUAUGAACCAUAUACACAUCAGAACUAUGGAGCCUUUUUUGACACAGUGGGAGCAGGGAUCACCGGUCCCGUGAUAUUGAAAGGUUUGAAGAAUGGCAACAACACUCUUGAUCUCUCCUCUCGGAAGUGGACAUAUCAGGUCAAUCUUAAAUUUUUGAUCGAAAACUAUUUAUUAUUCUUUCUUUAUCACUUUAAUGGAAUACAUUGUUAAUGGAGUUAAUUUUUUCGAUACAGAUUGGCCUAAAAGGCGAAGAUUUAGGUCUGUCUAGUGGAAGUUCUGGAGGGUGGAAUUCACAGUCUACUUACCCUAAGAACCAACCAUUGGUUUGGUACAAGGUAGUUUUAUUUUCAAUUUAUUGUUUCCCUUGAUAUAAGUAAGGGAAUUUCAAAUUAAGGAAAUGCCACUAUAUGAAAAAUGUUUUUUUGCUACUAACCAAUGUAAUACAUGUUGCACUAGACAAACUUUGAUGCUCCAUCCGGCAGUAAUCCAGUUGCGAUUGACUUCACGGGGAUGGGAAAAGGUGAGGCUUGGGUAAAUGGACAAAGCAUUGGGCGAUACUGGCCUACAUAUGUCGCUUCAAAUGCCGGUUGCACAGACUCAUGCAACUAUAGAGGACCUUAUACUUCAUCUAAAUGUCGCAAGAACUGUGGAAAACCGUCACAGACAUUGUAAGUGUUGCAAAUUUUCAAUAAAAAAAAGUUUAAACAAAGAAAAUAAUCUUGAUCUAUGAUGUUACUGAGACAAUAAUCGCAUCUUGCAGAUACCAUGUACCACGAUCGUUUUUGAAACCAAACGGCAACACUCUUGUAUUGUUUGAGGAAAAUGGCGGUGAUCCGACCCAAAUAUCUUUUGCUACAAAACAGCUGGAAAGUGUGUGUUCACAUGUAUCUGAUUCUCACCCACCUCAAAUAGACUUGUGGAACCAAGAUACAGAAUCAGGGGGAAAAGUAGGGCCUGCUCUGUUGCUCAGUUGUCCUAAUCAUAAUCAGGUAAUUUCAUCCAUCAAAUUUGCAAGCUAUGGAACACCUUUAGGGACGUGUGGAAACUUCUACCGCGGACGCUGCAGCAGCAAUAAGGCGCUGUCAAUUGUAAAGAAGGUGUUUAUCUGAACUCCUGUUCCCUUACUAAUUUGUUAUGUUUCACAUUGGUUUAGAUUGACUAUGUUGGCCAUGGCUAAUAGUUUACUGAUAUGUGAGUAGGUUGCUUGAGCUGAUCAGAAUAAUAGAAAAUCAACUAACCAAUUAAUUGUAUUUAAACACAAGCAGUAAUAUGUAACUCUAAGCUUGAACAAUAGAAAACACUACAACCACUUUGCAGCCGUAGACAGACACAAUUUGCCGAACUCGGUGAUCAAAUCUUGUUUGUUUUUGUUGGUUUUAAAGAGGUUAGCGGCUGAAACACACUAUGCACAGAAAAGUGGAGAAUUGUGGGUUCAACCCGAGCUCUAACAUAUCAAAUGUUCCCACAUCCUUUUACCAUAUGAGUUGUACUUACGGGACAAUCACUUGUGUUCUUUGUUUCCGUUUAUCAUAUCUGUUGUCUUUUGAACCAGAGUUGUUGUAACAUACUAAAAUCAUCUUAUUAACAGGCCUGCAUUGGAUCAAGAAGUUGUAGUGUUGGAGUAUCAACUGAUACAUUUGGAGACCCUUGUAGAGGAGUACCGAAAAGUUUAGCUGUUGAAGCUACUUGUGCAUAGACAAACAUGUAACAUGUUGCUCUAAGAGCAGUCCUCAAUUGUGUUCAACUCUUAUCUUCAAUUCAUCUUCCCUAUCUAAAUUAGAAUUGUAUUCUAGGAACAUCCCAAUUUUUUAUUUUUCACUUAGAAUAGUGCUGUACCACUUGCAAUAAAAGAACAAAAAUGUGGUCCAUAUGGUGAUCUUUGAUACGUGAUAAAACGGUGUUCUUUUGUUGUUCUAGUAGUGAAAAGGAUGGUAAUGGUCCCAUAUAUACUUGUAAUACAAGUUGCACUCAGUGUGAGGAACCUGAACAGUGAAAAGUGGAAAAUUUGGACUUUUGGAGUAUGAACCAAGUUGGAUUAUUAGUUGGAAAAUGAUGUAUUUGAAAUUUUACUUCUUGUAGAGGAAGGUAACGAGAUAGAGGAGAUUCAAUUAAUCAACAUUAGGCAAAAUUUGUGUUGAGUUCUGUUAAUCAUGUUUCUGUAGAUAUCCUAACAUUUGAAUGAAAAUAUAAUACAUGAUUUAUUUGAAAACUUUAUAUUUUUUUAUUUUAAUCACCUGUAUUAUUUUUUUAAAAAAAUGGUGACUUCUUUAAUAAAUAUAAUAAUAAAGAAUAAUCAAUGUUUAUUUUCUUCAAGUAUUUUACAUGCAUAUAUAUAUAAGUUUUAAUAUACUUUUUUUUAACGUAUCAUAUCUUAAAUUUAAAAAAAAAAUUGUGUAUUUGCGUACCCAUAUUGUAUGCCCAAAUGCCCUUAAUUUGGAAAUGCUAGCAAGUGUCAUAAGGGUACUUGUUUAGAAGUUUAAAGUAAAAGUUUUAUCUUAGAAAUUGUGUAUUCAAUACAUUGAAACAACAAAAAGUAAUUUUUUUCAACAAAAAAUUUAUCAGUUAUUUCUAUUUUUGAAUCUUUAACAAGUGUCUUUAAGGCAAUUGUUUGCAUAACCCUAAUAUUAGUUCUAUGAAGCAGAUUUUUUUUUGUUCAUAAUCAAUAUGUAGAAUUUAUUCUUUUUUUAUUUUUAAAUACAAAGAAAAAGUGUUCUCAAUACUUUUUGUCACAUGAGCUGCAGAAAUUUAACGAUCCAAAUUGAGUCAGUUGGUAAAAAGAUGUUUCAUUUAACAAUCCAAAUUGAUUCAGUUGGUAAAAAGAUGUCUCAUAUGCUAGAAGGGUAUGAAUUCAAUUCUCGCAGCUAUAAUGAAAAAUGGAUGGGUAAUUUAUAAAUACCCCUAGUGAACCCGUCAUCUAAGUUAUCUAAACUUUUUUUUAUAUAAAAUAAAGUAAAAAUAUGCAAUGUAUGUAAAUAAUGUGAUAAUAAAAAAGUAUAAUAAACGUGUUUGAGUUGAUUAAACAAUGUUAAGUUUGUCCUUACGAGCUUAGUUUAGUUGGUAUAGACAAUGCAUCAUAAUAUAUGUAAAAUACGAGGUUCAAACCCCGACCAUCAAAAAAAAAAAAAACAAUGCUAAGUUUGUGGAGAAUGAUAUUGCAGUUCAACCCCCACAUGAAUACAUUUUUAAAGUUGUUUUAUGAUGCAACAAGAAUCCAAUUUGAUAUCCCUAAUGAGGUCAAAAAUCCUAUCUAUUUUUUUUUUUUAAAUUAGAGGUGUUUAUUAUAGUUUUAGAAUAAAUUAAUGCACAUAUUUUUUAAAAAAUUUAAUAAUAAUUAGACUUUAUUUUACAAACUAGUUAGAUAUAUUUAUGUACUUAAAUUAUAAUAAUAAGAUGAAAUAAUUUAGAUGACGAGUUGAGUAAGAAUUUUACCUAAUAUUUAUCAAAUGUUACAAGAACUAAAUAAUAACACCUAUUUUUUAUUUAGUUAUAUUUUUUAAGUGUUACUAAAUCUCAUAUAUAUGUUAUAGUGCCUACCACAUAAGGUAUUUUUUUUUUUUGAAGGAUACCACAUAAGGUAUUUAUUCACUGAAUAUACGUUUAUAAUUCGGACAGAGGGCGUAUUACCUUGUUUCUCCUCAUAGAAUGUACAUUAUAUAUACACGUGUUAUAUUACUCAUGUUCUUCUUCUAAGCAUCAUCACUUACAUUUCACAUCCACGUGACCAAAAAAACACAUGUAACAAAUAAACCAAACCAAACCAAAGUCCAAUCUUUCCUUCCCUAGUGAGUUUCUUUUUCUCUUUUUGGAUCAUUCAUUCUUCUAGAAUAAUUACCAUGAGAGCCACUGAAAUUGUGUUGGUUCUGCUUUGGUUCUUACCAACAAUGUUUUGCACCAAUGUGGAUUAUGAUCAUAGAGCAUUGGUCAUUGAUGGUAAACGUAGAGUCUUGAUUUCUGGUUCUAUUCACUACCCUCGUAGUACUCCACAGGUUUUAUUUUAUGUCUCUCUUUGAUUCUGUUUGUGUGUUGAAUUUAAACAGUGCUGAAUUUGUUGUUGUUUAUAGAUGUGGCCAGACCUUAUUCAGAAAUCUAAAGAUGGAGGACUUGAUGUUAUUGAAACCUAUGUUUUCUGGAACUUACAUGAACCUGUUAAAGGCCAGGUUCUCUUUGCUUCAUUUCUUCUCUUACAUUCUUACCAUUUUCUUUGAGCAUUGCAUUUGUUCAUUGCUUGCAGGAAAAGAAAACAAGUGUCUAUGUUAAGCUGAAUUGCUAAUUGUUGAAAGCAUGACUGAACAAGUUUGGAUUGACUUAUUUGAGUUUAUCUACUGACAUAAUCUCUCCAAGAUAGAUAAUGAAACAUAUUAACUAUAUGAAAACAAUAUGACUCUAAAAUCUUUUGUAAAUAGAAUAAGCACUUAUAUGUUAUAAGCACUUAAUUAAGUAUUUUAUCCAAAUAUGAUCUUGAUCUACUAUAAGCUAAGAAAGUCUAUCUUAAUUCAUUGAAAUGAAAUGGAUUUUUGCAGUAUGAUUUUGAUGGGAGGAAGGAUUUGGUGAAAUUUGUGAAAGCAGUAGCUGAGGCAGGUCUAUAUGUGCAUCUCCGGAUUGGUCCAUAUGUUUGUUCUGAAUGGAACUAUGGGUAAAGUUUGGUAAUUUAUGUGUAUUAUAUUUCGAGGGUGUUCAUGUCUAAUUGAGGGCUUUAACUUCUUGACAGUGGUUUCCCUCUUUGGCUUCACUUCAUUCCAGGGAUUAAGUUCCGAACUGACAAUGAACCAUUUAAGGUAAGUUAACCUUCAGUCCAGUGCUUCAUGCUUUUGUCCUUGGACUGAGUUCACUUGACAGGAAACUUUGUCUUCAGGUUGAAAUGAAGCGAUUCACCACUAAGAUUGUCGACCUCAUGAAGCAAGAGAAACUGUAUGCAUCACAAGGAGGACCUAUAAUUUUAUCUCAGGUUUUUUUAUCAUGAAAUACAAUACAAGUAUAGUUAAUAUAUUCUUGAAGAUAUUAAGGUCAAAGUUUAUAUUUGUUAAUGUGAGAGUGUUUGUGAUUUCUAAUGACAGAUAGAAAAUGAGUAUGGAGACAUCGAUUCAGCCUAUGGUUCUGCUGGUAAAUCAUACAUCAAUUGGGCAGCAAAAAUGGCUACAUCUCUUGAUACAGGUGUACCUUGGGUCAUGUGUCAGCAAGCAGAUGCUCCUGAUCCAAUUGUAAGUUUUAUGUUUUGAUAUGUCAAUGUUAAUUGUUUUUUAGUUUAUGGUUUACUAGGUUGCCUGUCUUCCGGAAAAGAGCAAUCUUGGUAUGCCGUUUGCAUUCAUCUUACUCAAUUUUUACUUGAACUGCAAGUAGAUUAAUACCUGCAAUGGAUUUUACUGCGAUCAAUUCACACCAAACUCUAAAACAAAGCCAAAAUUGUGGACUGAAAAUUGGAGUGCAUGGUUAGCAACUUAGCAUCCUUUUUUAUAUAAAUAAUUUAAUCAAUUUGUUUAUGUUAUUUUCCAAAUCUUACUUGAAUUCUUUGGAAUGGUAGGUAUCUUUUAUUUGGUGGUGGGUUUCCUCACAGACCUGUGGAAGAUCUCGCAUUUGCUGUCGCACGCUUUUUCCAACGAGGUGGAACAUUUCAAAAUUACUAUAUGGUAUUGCAACCUGAAAUGUUCUUCACAAGUUCAGAAUAAUAUGAUAAUAUUACUUCACUGAAAAAUUGGCUCUAAGAGGAAUUAGCUGAUACUGUAUCAUUUUUCAUUGCUUGACUAAAAACAGUACCAUGGAGGAACCAACUUUGACCGAAGUACUGGAGGACCAUUCAUUGCAACAAGUUAUGAUUUUGAUGCACCGAUUGAUGAGUAUGGUAUGACUCCUUCAACCUUCUUAUUGAAAUCUAUUGUUCAUGUUGUAGCCGUCACAAAUACAACACUGGUAAUACAUCGAAGAAGAUAAAUUGAUAAUAUCACAUGGAUAGUUUAUUUCUUAUAUGUAGAAGAGAAAUUACACUGGACGAUUGGAUUUUUUAAUAUCUUCGCUACAUGCUGCAGGAGUUAUUAGGCAGCCGAAGUGGGGUCAUCUUAAAGAUGUGCACAAGGCCAUAAAGCUUUGUGAAGAAGCAUUAAUAGCCGCAGAACCCAAGAUUACUUAUCUUGGUCCAAACCUAGAGGUAUAGAUGGUUUAUAUUGAAAUUUUUGUUCGUUUGAAACAUCUUAUUCCGCGUCUUAGGAUAUAAUUUAUUUUGUAACUAAAACUCAUCUGGUUUGUCAAUAGUGUAAGAUUCUUUCUUUGAAAAAUUCCCGGCAUUAAUAGUCUUUUACUAAUAAAACCGCAGGCGGCCGUUUAUAAGACAGGAUCUGUAUGUGCUGCCUUUCUCGCCAAUGUGGACGCCAAAUCUGAUAAAACCGUAAAUUUCAGUGGCAAUUCAUAUCACUUGCCUGCAUGGUCUGUGAGCAUCUUGCCAGAUUGCAAGAAUGUAGUGCUUAAUACUGCAAAGGUUUGUCUUACCUUCAUUUGUGUUAAGUUGCUUCAAUAACACAAUUAUCUCAAUCAAAAUAGAUAGUUUAAUUGAAUAGAGUUACUAAAAAAGUGUGAUUCAUAUUCAUUUUGUGAAUAUUCUAUCUAUACCAAGGUGUUUUCUCUUAUUUGUUAGUCCAAAGUAAGUAGGAUGUAAUAAAAGUAAAUUUUUUUAUGCCAGAUUAAUUCUGCAUCUACAAUUUCAAACUUCGUAACUGAAUCUUUAAAAGAAGAUAUCAGUUCUUCAGAAACUUCUAGAUCAAAAUGGAGUUGGAUAAACGAACCUGUGGGUAUUUCGAAGGAUGAUAUAUUGUCAAAGACUGGAUUACUUGAGCAAAUAAAUAUCACAGCUGAUAGAAGUGACUACUUGUGGUACUCAUUAAGGUAUACAAGCCUCCAAAUUUGAAAGAUAUUUUCCCUGACUGAUGAUUCUGUACUUCUCGAUAACACUUCUAUUGUAUUCUUUUGAAGCGUUGAUCUUAAGGAUGAUCCUGGUUCUCAAACUGUCCUUCACAUUGAAUCGCUCGGCCAUGCCCUUCAUGCUUUCAUAAACGGCAAGCUUGCAGGUAAUUAUUCACAAGGAUAUGGUUUUUAUAUUUUGAAAGUGUUGGAAUUAAUUGAAUUGACUAGUUUUAGUGAUUUGCUGUAAUUUGGAAUUCAAAUUAUAGUUGACUCAUAUCCUUGUAUAUCUUUCCAUUUAUUUCUUGUAGUUAUGUUUUCAUUUUUUUAUCUCCUAUAAUCAUGGAGGAAACCUUGUAUAUAUUCCCUACUUUCAUAUCAAUGAAAUACACCAUUAUACCAUUUUCUUUUACAUGGUAUCAGAGCCGACUCCAAUUACCUCUCAUUUCUAGGUAUUGGAGAUUAGCUUCUGAGUAAGAAAAUGGCGAAUGGGUCAGAUAAAUCAGAUUCUGGUGAUAAAUCAGAUUCUGCUCAAAAAUCAAAUUCUGCUCCACAUACACAUGAUAUGUAUUCAUCCCUCACACCUGAACGUCUUGAUGGCACAAACUAUACCGAAUGGGCCCUAAAUGCAGAAAACAAGAUCAGAGGUCGUAAACAUUGGGGUUACAUCUCUGGAAAGAAGGUCACACCUGCAACAAAAACCUCUGAUGAAUAUGAAACUUGGGAAGAUGAGAAUUGUUUGGUCAAGUCUUGGCUUCUGGAUGCAAUGACAAAAGAUGUUAGGUCGCUUUUCAUCCGGUUACCUACAGCCAAGAAGAUCUGGGAAUCGGUCAAGGAGACUUACUCUGUCAGUCAAGAUGCAUCAAAGGCAUAUCAGCUUUAUUGUGAGGUAAUAUCUAUUAAACAAGAUGGUGGAUCCGUUGUUACUUACUUUGCAAAAUUACAGAAACUGUGGCAGGAAAUUGAUGCGAUUGAAGAUUGUACCAUGGUGUGCACUAAAGAUGUUGAGACAUAUACCAACAAACUGAAUGCGCAACGUGUAUACAUAUUCCUAGCAGGACUUGAUUCACACUUGGAUGGGGUACGUGGUCGAAUUCUUGCAACCAUACCACUUCCAGGUAUACAAACUGUGUAUGCAAAUGUCUGUGUUGAGGCGAAUCGCCAAGAAGCCAUGCUUUGUACAACACAAAGUGAAGGUGCUGCAAUGGCUAUGAAAAAGCCAUUUAAUUCCAAUAAAGGAAACCGCAAAUGUACACACUGUAAUGGAAACAACCAUACCGCAGAUACUUGUUUUAAGAUACACGGUUAUCCUCAAUGGCACCCAAAAGGGAAAAAGGAGGAUGCUCUCAAUAACAAUACUACCGGUGCUUCUGGAUUUGUUGCUAAGUCAGGUACAUCUCAAUCUGUUUGUUGUUUUUCUGUUGUUACUUGUGAUAAUGAAUGGAUAAUUGAUACUGGUGCAACUCAUCAUAUGACUUGUAAUAAAUAUAUGUUUACACAUUUAUCCUCUAAUAGUCCUGUUCGAGUCAUUAUAAAUGCUAAUGGUGUUUCUUCCCAUGUUAUGGGUAUUGGUACAGUGUCAAUUUCACCAUCAUUAUCCCUUUAUGAUGUUCUCUUUGUUCCCUCUCUCAAUUGCAAUCUUCUCUCUGUUAACCAACUAACCGAGUCCCUUAAUUGUGCCGUCGUGUUCUUUUCCACACAUUGUAUUUUGCAGAAUGUUCAUACAAAGGAGAAGAUUGGCAGUGGUAAAAAAAGAGAAGGAUUAUACUAUCUUGAAGGUAACUCUCAACAUCCCAAAGGAAAAGCACUAGUUCACUCUAUGAGUGAUGGAUUACAAGCUAGAAAUAUAGAAGAUAUUUGGCAAUGGCAUAAGCGAUUAGGACACCCAUCAUUUAGCUAUCUCAAGAGAUUGUUUCCUUCAUUGUUUAGUCGUUGUGAUAUCUCUGAUUUUAAAUGUGAAACUUGUGUAAUGGCAAAAAGCCAUCGUGUUUCUUUUCCUAUAAAUAAUAGUAGAGCUGAUGCUCCUUUUUCAAUUAUUCACUCAGAUGUUUGGGGACCAUCUCCAUUUCCCACAAAUAAUGGAAUGAGGUGGUUUGUGACCUUUGUGGAUGAUUGUACAAGAAUGACCUGGUUAUAUUUUCUUAAACACAAAAGUGAUUUGUUUAGUGUCUUUCAAGUUUUUCACAAAAUGAUAACAACACAAUUUAAUACUCCAAUCAAGAUAGUUAGGUCUGAUAAUGGAGGAGAAUAUCAUAAUAAUAAAUUGACAACUUUUAUGAAAUCAGUUGGUAUUCUCCAUCAAACAUCAUGUCCUAAUACCCCUCAGCAGAAUGGAGUAGCUGAAAGAAAAAAUAGACACCUUUUGGAGAUUACUAGGUCACUCUUGAUUGGGAGUAAUGUUCCUUCUUAUUUAUGGGGUGAAGCUUUAAGCUCUGCAGUUUAUCUUAUUAAUAGAGUCCCCUCAAGUGUGCUAAAUUUUAGAAGACCUAUUGAUGUUCUUUCUAAUCAUUGCACACUUAACUCUAUCAAUAAUUUACCACCCCAUAUUUUUGGUUGUGUCAUAUAUGUACAUUUACAUCCUCACCAAAGAACAAAAUUAGAAUCUAGAGCAAUGAAAUGUGUUUUUGUGGGAUACAGCACCACUCAAAAGGGAUAUAAAGCUUAUCAUCCAUCUUCAAAAAAAUAUUUUGUUUCAAUGGAUGUUACCUUUCAUGAACAUGAAUUGUUUUUUCUUUCUAAAACACUCCAUUCUUCACCUCAGAGGGGAAGUGAUGUAGAGGUGCAGAAUCAUGAAAUACGCAUCCAUGAAAUCAUGUUAUUUGAUACUAUGCCAAUAGAAAAUCAAAAUGAAAUUCAAGAUAUUGAAGAUGAGAAUCAAGAUAUUGGAAAUGAGAAUAUGACCGAAGAUGAUAGUAUAAUUUCCUCUUCAACUUCAAGCCCACUGCUGAUCCAAUCCUCAGAAAAUUCUGCAGAGGUACCAUCUGAAACUAUUGCUUCUAUUCAUUCUAUUGCUGAUAUAGAAAAUUAUGUUUCCGCUGAUAUAGAAAAUAAUGACUCUUCUUCUAGUCCAUUAAAUUUUGACCAUGUUGUUAGCACUUACACUCUUCCCCCUCGUACUAACAGAGGACAACCUCCAAUAAGGUAUGAACCUGACCCUAAUUGUAAGCUAAAGUACCCUAUAAAUAACUAUGUGUCAUUCCAAAAGUUGUCCAAGUCAUAUGCUAAUUAUGCAUCUCAAUUAUCCAUUGCAUCUACACCUAGUAACUUGCAGGAAGCUCUAGCAGAUUUGAGAUGGACACAGGCAAUGACAGCAGAAAUGGAAGCAUUGGAGAAAAAUGCUACUUGGGAACUUGUCUCCUUACCGGUCGGAAAGAGCACUGUAGGUUGUAGAUGGGUGUUUACUAUCAAACAUAAGGCCGAUGGAAGUGUUGAGAGGUUUAAAGCGAGGUUAGUUGCAAAAGGUUACACUCAAUCCUAUGGAGUUGAUUAUGAAGAAACUUUUGCACCAGUUGCAAAACUCAACACAGUGAGGGUAUUACUAUCAUUAGCAGCAAAUCAAGAUUGGCCGCUACUUCAAUUUGAUGUAAAAAAUGCCUUUUUACAUGGAGAUUUAAUAGAAGAAGUGUAUAUGGAUCCUCCCCCUGGCAUACCAAGGUACUCAAAUAUUUCUAUGGUGUGCAAGCUUAAAAAGGCCCUAUAUGGAUUAAAACAGUCACCAAGAGCUUGGUUUGGAAGGUUUACUAAGUCUAUGAAGUUUUUUGGUUACACACAAAGUAAUUCUGAUCACACCUUGUUUCUUAAACAUAAUCAUGGUAAGAUCACCGCAUUGAUAAUAUAUGUUGAUGAUAUGAUUGUGACUGGAAAUGAUCCUAAUGAAAUUUCGAGCUUGCAGCGAUAUUUAGCUUCUAAUUUUGACAUGAAACAACUUGGAGAUCUAAAGUAUUUUUUGGGGAUCGAAGUUGCAAGGUCCAAGCAUGGUAUCUUUCUUUCUCAAAGAAAGUAUGUGUUAGAUUUGUUAACUGAGACAGGAAUGCUUGGAUGCAAACCAAUUGAAACUCCCAUAGAACAAAAUCACAAAAACUUUUGUUGUGCUGAUGCGCCUAGUACGGAUCGUCAAAGAUAUCAAAGAUUAGUUGGGAAGUUAAUUUAUUUGUCUCAUACUAGGCCAGACAUAGCGUAUGCAGUUAAUGUUGUGAGCCAAUUUAUGCAUGACCCAAGAAAACCGCAUAUGGAUGCGGUUGAACGAAUACUGAGGUACUUAAAAUCUGCUCCAGGAAAAGGUUUGUUAUUCUCAAACCAUGGUCACCUCAAAGUCGAAGGUUAUACCGAUGCUGAUUGGGCCGGAUCUGCGGAUGACAGAAAGUCUACUGCAGGCUACUUAACUUUUGUGGGAGGAAAUUUAGUAACUUGGAGGAGUAAAAAACAACAAGUAGUUGCUAGAUCAAGUGCCGAAGCAGAAUUCAGGGGGAUGGCAGUAGGAAUAUGUGAACUGCUAUGGAUUAAAAACCUUUUAAAGGAUCUUGGAUGUGAACAAGAGGAUGCAAUGAAGCUUUACUGUGACAAUAAAUCUGCCAUAGAGAUUGCUCAUAACCCUGUCCAACAUGAUCGCACAAAACACGUGGAAAUUGAUAGGCAUUUCAUCAAAGAAAAGAUUGAAGCUGGUAUUAUUGCAUUUCCGUUUGUAAAAUCAGAACAACAACUUGCUGAUAUGCUUACUAAGGCAGUAACCUCCAGGACUCUUGCUGGUUCUCUUGACAAGUUGGGUAUGUGUGAUAUUCAUGCACCAACUUGAGAGGGGAUGUUGGAAUUAAUUGAAUUGACUAGUUUUAGUGAUUUGCUGUAAUUUGGAAUUCAAAUUAUAGUUGACUCAUAUCCUUGUAUAUCUUUCCAUUUAUUUCUUGUAGUUAUGUUUUCAUUUUUUUAUCUCCUAUAAUCAUGGAGGAAACCUUGUAUAUAUUCCCUACUUUCAUAUCAAUGAAAUACACCAUUAUACCAUUUUCUUUUACAGAAAGUCUCAAAGAGCCUGUGUUAUUGAAACUCAAAUGAAGUCGAGGUUGAUUUUAAAACAAGUUAAAACAUGAGUUGAUCAUUGAUUUUUUUUUUUAUUUUUUUUAGGGAGAGUUGAUGAUGGAUGUUCCUUCUAAAAAUGUUCAUAAUUUAUUUUUUCAAUUAAGUUCUUGAAUUAUUAAAUAAUAACUUUCUAUGAUAUUAUUGAUGAAUUCUUAGGGAGUCAAACCGGGAACAAAGAAAAACCUAAGCUUAAUGAGGACAUCCCGAUCACAGUUCUUUCUGGAAAGAAUAAAAUUGAUCUGCUGAGUUUAACAGUUGGACUUCAGGUUCAGCUUUUCUUGUUUUUAGUUUCCAAUUAUGCAUAGAAUUGCUUGCUCCCCCAAUGAUUUCUCUCAUUACUAUAUCUAACAUGAACCAUAUACACAUCAGAACUAUGGAGCUUUUUUUGACACAUGGGGAGCGGGGAUCACCGGUCCAGUGAUAUUGAAAGGUUUGAAGAAUGGCAACAAGACUCUUGAUCUCUCCUCUCGGAAGUGGACAUAUCAGGUCAGUCUUCACUUUUGAUCGAAGACUAUUUGUUAGUCUUACAUAGUUAAUGGAGUUAAUUCUUUUGAUACAGGUUGGCCUAAAAGGUGAAGAUUUAGGUCUCUCUAGUGGAAGUUCCGGAGCGUGGAAUUCAAAGACUACUUUCCCUAAGAAACAACCAUUGAUUUGGUACAAGGUAAUUUAAUUUUCAAUUUAUUGUUUCCCUUGAUAUAAGUUAUGGAAUUUCAAAUUAAAAGAACGCCACUAUAUGAAAAAUGUUUUUUGCUACUAACCAAUGUCAUGCAUGUUGCAUUAGACAAACUUUGAUGCUCCAUCCGGCAGUAAUCCAGUUGUGAUUGACUUCACAGGGAUGGGAAAAGGCGAGGCUUGGGUAAAUGGACAAAGCAUUGGGCGAUACUGGCCUACAUAUGUUGCUUCAAAUGUCGAUUGCACAGACUCAUGCAACUACAGAGGACCUUUUACUCAAACCAAAUGUCACAUGAAUUGUGGAAAACCAUCACAGACAUUGUAAGUGUUGCAAAUUUUCAAUGAAGAAGAGUUUAAACAUGAGAAAAAAAAUCUUGAUCUAUGAUGUGAUUGAGACAUUAAUCUCAUCUCACAGAUACCACGUGCCACAGUCGUUUUUGAAACCAAAUGGAAACACUCUUGUAUUGUUUGAGGAAAGUGGUGGUGAUCCAACACAAAUAUCUUUUGCUACAAAACAGAUAGGAAGUGUGUGUGCCCAUGUAUCUGAUUCUCACCCACCUCAAAUAGACUUGUGGAACCAAGAUACAGAAUCAGGGGGAAAAGUAGGGCCUGCACUGUUGCUCAACUGUCCUAAUCAUAAUCAGGUAAUAUCUUCCAUCAAAUUUGCAAGCUAUGGAACACCACUAGGGACGUGUGGAAACUUCUACCGCGGACGCUGCAGCAGCAAUAAGACACUGUCAAUUGUAAAGAAGGUGUUUAUCUGGAUUCAUGUUCCCUUUCUAAUUUGUUAUGGUUCACUUUAUGUUGAGUAUGACUCUUAGUUUAAUUAUAUGUGAGUAGGUUGCUUGAGUUGGUGAGAAUAAUAGAAAAUAAACUAAUCAACUCAUAGUAUUUAAACACAGGUAGUAAUAUGUAACCUCUUUGCUGCCGUAGAUGUAUACACAAUUGGCCGAACUCCGCGAUCAAAUCUUGUUUUUUUGUUGUUGCUGUUGGUUUUAAGCUGGUUAGCGGCGAAACUCACACACACAUUAUGUACUGAGAAGUGGAGAAUUGUGGGUUCAAACCUGCGUUCCAACAUAUCAAAUGUCCCUGCAAAAUUUUACCAUCUGAGUUGUACUUACGGGACAAUCUCAGUGUUAUUUGUUUGUGUUUUCUUUUGAACCUGAUUGUUGUAACAUACUAAAAUCAUCUUAUUAACAGGCCUGCAUUGGAUCAAGAAGUUGUAGUAUUGGAGUAUCAACCGAUACAUUUGGAGACCCUUGUAAAGGAGUGCCAAAGAGUUUAGCCGUUGAAGCUACUUGUGCAUAGACAAACAUGUAACAUGUUGCUCCAAGAGCAGUCAUCAAUUGUCUUCAACUCUUAUCUUAAAUUCUUCUUCCCUUUCCAAAUUAGAAUUGUAUUCUAGGAACAUCCCAAUUUAUUUUUCUUCAAUUAGAAUAGUUUAGUACCACUUGCAAUAAAAGAAACAAAAAUGUGGUCCUUAUGAUGUUUGAUACGUGAUAAAAUGGUCCCAUAUACUUGUAAUACAAGUUGCCCUCAGGGGGAGGGACCUGAACAGUGAAAAGUGGAAAAUUUGGACUUUUGGAGUAUGAACCAAGUUGGAUUAUUAG